GGGCCAGGCACUCCUUAAGGGCUUCUUUAGUUUUUAUUUCCCCCUCUCUCGUCGCGGAGCACAGGCUCCCGAGUGCCUGAGCUCAGUAGCUGCAGUGUGCAGGCUUACUUGCCGCCCUCUCUCCAAUGUGCAAUCUUAGUUCCCUGACCAGGGAUCGAACCUGCGCACUCUGCAUUGCAAGGCAGACUCUUAACCACUGGACCACCAGGGACAUCCCAGGGCUCUACUUCUAUUCACUCGUGUAAUCCUUUCAACAAAUCUCUGAGGUAGGUACAGGUGGGAAACUGAGGCACAGGUGAGAUGACUCAGAGGUCAUCGAGCUAGUGACAGAGCCAUGGCAGGAACUUUCCAUCUGGCUCCUGGGUCUGUGCUUUUAGAAGUACGCAAGAGGGUGGCAGAAAGAGAAUCACGGGAGGGGGAUAGAAGGACAGAUUCACGGCCAGGCUCACUCUGACCUCCCAGUUACCCUCCCCUUCUGGGUCAUAACCUCCCCCUCUGCCAACCUGGUCCUCUUCCUUUCAAGCCCAGGUAAGAGGCUCGUUUCAAAGAAUGGAAACAAAAAAGGACUAAAUUAGAGACAGAGGAACCAGUCUGUUGUCAAGACCCUGUAGGACCCUCAGCACGUUCCCUCCUCCCCUGGGUCUCAGUUCCCCAUCUGUAGAGGAGGGCUGGGCCCGUCCACACCUAAAGAUCCUUUCAACUCUGAUGUGCUAAAUCCUGAACAGCUGCUUGGAAGCUAGAAGAAUUCCUAGGAGCCUCUUGGCCUCGGACCCUGGCUGCAUCUCCCAGGAACUCCCUGUUGUCCCUGAAUACAGGAUUUCAGCUCCUGGCUCCUGUGGGCUCUGCUGUGAGGGCUCCUGGCUACGCUUGGGGGCGAGGGAGGUGAGUGACCUUGGGCGAGUCACCUGGCUCCUGGAGCCUGUUUCUCCUCUGCAAAAUGGGGCGACCGACUGGUACCACUGACCUCCCAGGGACGGACUGCAAAGGCAAAAGAGAGGAAAGGACGUGGUAAAUGACCAGAUGCCCUUCGCUUGGGUGCGGUUAUCUUCAGGACUUCCCCCAGCCUCCCACCUGGAGGUAAAGUGUUGGUGGCGUGGAGAAGAGAUACCUACCUGUUCAAGUACAACCUGAGUAAUUCCUAUCAAGACACCUCCUUGGAACCUGGAAGCUUUCCAAAGGAGAAGACUCCCCUCCCCCACCUUACCUGUGUGCACUUGUGACCUGCCAUGGUGAGCUAAUUCUGUGGUGGCGAAACGCACCGUCCCCACGUUCGCUCACACCUGUGCCUGCGU
Molecule: long non-coding RNA, 1292 nt
Filed under: Capra hircus (goat)
Lineage: Eukaryota; Metazoa; Chordata; Mammalia; Artiodactyla; Bovidae
Description: lncRNA (ENSCHIG00010026086.1)
Source: RNAcentral